RNAcentral lists this ribosomal RNA (207 nucleotides) under uncultured bacterium. Its description in RNAcentral is "partial 16S ribosomal RNA". It matches the Rfam family "Bacterial small subunit ribosomal RNA", at positions 568 to 774 of the family's 1533-position model. The record is from RNAcentral.
UGCGUAGGCGGUCGGGAAAGUUUGAUGUGAAAGCUCCGAGCUCAACUUGGAAAAUGCAUUGAAAACUAUCCGACUAGAGGAUUGUAUGGGAGACUGGAAUUCUCGGUGUAGCAGUGAAAUGCGUAGAUAUCACGAGGAACACCAGAAGCGUAGGCGGGUGACUGGACGGGUACUGACACUCAGGCACGAAAGCGUGGGGAGCAAACA